RNAcentral lists this ribosomal RNA (401 nucleotides) under uncultured Bacteroidota bacterium. Its description in RNAcentral is "bacterial SSU rRNA". It matches the Rfam family "Bacterial small subunit ribosomal RNA", at positions 357 to 756 of the family's 1533-position model. The record is from RNAcentral. Lineage: Bacteria; Pseudomonadati; Bacteroidota.
UGGAAUUGCGCAAUGGACGCAAGCCUGACCCAGCCAUGCCGCGUGCAGGAUGACGGCCUUCUGGGUUGUAAACUGCUUUUAUACGGGAAAAAAUCCCCCUACCUGUACGGAGUUGACGGUACUGUAAAAAUAAGCAUCGGCUAACUCCGUGCCAGCAGCCGCGGUAAUACGGAGGAUGCAGGCGUUAUCCGGAUUCAUUGGGUUUAAAGGGUGCGCAGGCGGUGCUAUAAGUCAAGGGUGAAGUCCUGCGGCUUAACCGUAAAACUGCCAUUGAUACUGUUGCCCUUGAGUAUAGUUAAGGAGGGCGGAAUAUGUAAUGUACCGGUGAAAUGCCUAAAUAUAACAUGGAACACCAAUUGCAAAGGCAACUCACUAACUCUAUCCCUGACGCUGAGGCACAA